RNAcentral lists this ribosomal RNA (429 nucleotides) under Chloroflexota bacterium. RNAcentral's name for it is "Chloroflexi bacterium partial 16S ribosomal RNA". It matches the Rfam family "Bacterial small subunit ribosomal RNA", at positions 355 to 776 of the family's 1533-position model. Lineage: Bacteria; Bacillati; Chloroflexota. The record is from RNAcentral.
UGGGGAAUAUUGCACAAUGGGCGCAAGCCUGAUGCAGCCAUGCCGCGUGUAUGAAGAAGGCCUUCGGGUUGUAAAGCACUUUCAGCGGGGAGGAAGGCGUUAAGGUUAAUAACCUUGGCGAUUGACGUUACCCGCAGAAGAAGCACCGGCUAACUCCGUGCCAGCAGCCGCGGUAAUACGGAGGGUGCAAGCGUUAAUCGGAAUUACUGGGCGUAAAGCGCACGCAGGCGGUCUGUCAAGUCGGAUGUGAAAUCCCCGGGCUCAACCUGGGAACUGCAUUCGAAACUGGCAGGCUAGAGUCUUGUAGAGGGGGGUAGAAUUCCAGGUGUAGCGGUGAAAUGCGUAGAGAUCUGGAGGAAUACCGGUGGCGAAGGCGGCCCCCUGGACGAAGACUGACGCUCAGGUGCGAAAGCGUGGGGAGCAAACAGG